Molecule: ribosomal RNA, 416 nt
Filed under: Chloroflexota bacterium
Lineage: Bacteria; Bacillati; Chloroflexota
Description: bacterial SSU rRNA
Rfam family: Bacterial small subunit ribosomal RNA
Source: RNAcentral
GGUGAGUUUGAUCCCGGCUCAGGAUGAACGCUAGCGGCGUGCCUUAUGCAUGCAAGUCGAACGGUCCUUCCAGCAAUGGCAGGAUAGUGGCGAACGGCUGAGUAAAGCGUGGGUAACCUGCCCCCGAGUGGGGAAUAAUCCAUCGAAAGGUGGACUAAUACUUCAUAUGGUCCUUUCCUGAGAUGGAAAGGAGUAAAGUCCUGCCCUUACGGGCAGGAUGCUUGGGGAGGGGCCCGCGUCCCAUCAGGUAGUUGGUGGGGUAACAGCCUACCAAGCCGAGGACGGGUAGCUGGUCUUAGAGGAUGGUCAGCCAGACUGGGACUGAGACACGGCCCAGACUCCUACGGGAGGCAGCAGCAGGGAAUAUUGCGCAAUGGGCGAAAGCCUGACGCAGCGACGCCGCGUGAGGGAUGAAG